Mirounga angustirostris (Northern elephant seal) is the source of this 1665-nucleotide long non-coding RNA. RefSeq lists it as uncharacterized. The transcript has 3 exons. The record is from RefSeq and is a predicted model, not a curated record. NCBI's taxonomy places the organism in Eukaryota, Metazoa, Chordata, Mammalia, Carnivora, Phocidae.
AAACCUGCGAGGUGCGGAGGAGGAGUCAGAGACCCCACCGACUUUAGUCACUACCCCUGACUCCGGGCUGGGGAUCCCACCCCCAGCCCCCAGAGCACAGUGAGAGUACGACAGGGAUGUGUGGGUAAGCUCUGCGGUGUGUGCACGAUCUGGUGAAGAAACUGAGGCUCAGAAAGAUAAGAGAGAGAGAGAGCACAAGCACGGGGAGCGGCAGGCAGAGGGAGAAGCAGGCUCCCCGCUGAGCAAGGAGCCUGGUGCGUGACUCGAUCCCAGGACCCCAGGAUCAUGACCUGAGCCAAAGGCAGACGCUUAACUGACUGAGCCACCCAGGCGUCCCCCACCUGAGGUAUUUUUAUGCUUGUUGCUACCUCUCCCAUUCCCUGGGUAUGUUUUCACACUUGCCACCAGAAUUAUUCCAACCUCUAUAAACUGAGAGUAUUUCCGCAUUUGCAGACCCACAGUGGGCUCCAGAAGGAAAGUGUUCCCUGGGUGCUGGCUUCUCUGGUGGGAGAUCUACAGAGAUUAUAAAAGGUUGGGCACCCCCAACUAGGGUCUGCCCAGCACAAGCCACAUAUCCCAACCCAUCUGUUAGCCAUAGGGAGUUAGUGACUCAGUUACCAAAAAUCCAGAAAGGUUGGCCCCUCCUGAAGGAAGGGAAGAUUGGAGCCUUGAUGAGGCACACCCUCCUUGCAACAACCUACUACUUCAGUGGGAAGAUGAAAGGGAAGUUAAGAACUGUUGCAGGCCCAUCAUAUUCACCUGGCCCAUUUUACGACCUGAGAAUCCGAGGAAAUAAGUCUAUCCAAAGACAUAGAGCUAGAUGGUGGCCAGGCAGGUGUAGCCCCGGGUCAUGAAACAUCCAGUCCAGAGUAUACACAAUCAGGAAAGCCUCAGCAAACAAGCCCCAAAAUGUAAUGAUGCAGGAGCAAUAGGGAGGUCAGAGAGGAGUCAGAACUCAGCGAGUCACUUCUCAUCUCAGAACCCCUCUGUCCAUCUGUAAAAGGGCUUGGAGUUCCUGGCACCAAGAUUCACCAUGCAUUUACCAGAGCACCCACUGUGCAGCAGAACCUGCCGUGGGUCUCCUGUAAUGACACACAGAUCAAGGUAAAGGCAGCCCGGGCGGGGGGUAAGUUCCCUGCCUGAAGUCACACAGCAAUUAAGUGACAGAACCAAGAGGGACAGCGCACCAGCCAGCCAGUGCCCGCCCCCUCUCAUGACCACUAGGGGAGCCUCCCGGAUUUUCUUUCCCAUCUUUGCCAGCUUCCUGAUUCUCACAUUCCCAGCCCUGCUCCAGGGGGAACCAUUCCCUUUAAUAACUACAGCAGCUGUGCCCAGAAUAGCACUUGAGCUCCAAGCCAUCUCUACCCCACCCCAUCCUUUAGCAAAGCAGGCUGGGGUGGGACUCUUGGCCCAGUCUCUGGGCCCAUCCACUUGGAAAGCCAGAAGCUCUCCUUCUCCUACUCGUUUCUCCUGCCCCCCUCUGUGAGCAGAGAGAGGGGCAGCACAACCCUACUCCUCACCAGCACUAGGCCGGGUCAUGUCCUUCUUAGCAGACAAUGCUGGGGGUUGGGAAGGUAAGAAAGGGCCAAACAGAGGCAACUCUCACCCUCCAUCCCACCCCAACAUCAGUCCUGGAGACACCCUGAUGCAGCCAAUGACUCACCU